RNAcentral lists this microRNA precursor (136 nucleotides) under Hordeum vulgare. RNAcentral's name for it is "microRNA MIR1122". It matches the Rfam family "MIR1120/MIR1122 microRNA precursor family". Lineage: Eukaryota; Viridiplantae; Streptophyta; Magnoliopsida; Poales; Poaceae. The record is from RNAcentral.
UAACUACUCCCUCCGUCCCAAAAUUCUUGUCUUAGAUUUGUUUAGAUACGAAUGUAUCUAGUCAAGUUUUAGUAUUUAGGUACAUUCAUUUCUAGACAAAGCUAAGACAAGAAUUUUGGGAUGGAGGGAGUAUGAG